Molecule: non-coding RNA, 223 nt
Organism: Cinara cedri
Lineage: Eukaryota; Metazoa; Arthropoda; Insecta; Hemiptera; Aphididae
Source: the annotation of a GenBank genome assembly
UCAAUCGAUAUUGAUGUAAUAGUAUAUCAGUAAAAUCGUAUACAUAUUACAAUAUUGAAUUCCUGAAAAAACUAUUGGUUGGCAAUUAUUUUUGCCUCAAAGUAGUUUAGCUUGCAUGUAAUUUCCUCUCUCUACUCUCUUUUAAAAACAGUUUAUAGUUUUAAAAUAUAUUUUGACACAACAUAAUUUAUUUAUUUAUUUAAUAAUAAUAAACAGGACGAGU